This 1088-nucleotide long non-coding RNA is filed under the name Gallus gallus (chicken). RNAcentral's name for it is "lncRNA (ENSGALG00010012703.1)". The record is from RNAcentral. Lineage: Eukaryota; Metazoa; Chordata; Aves; Galliformes; Phasianidae.
AAAAUGUUUGAUUUUGGGGUCCAGUGGGGGAUUUUUGAAGAGCAAAAGUGUGAUUUUCGAGUUAAAUGGGGGAUUUUCCAAGAGAAAAUGCGUGAUGUUGGGGAUGAUGGGGUAUUUUUGAAGAGAUAAAGCAUGAUUUGGGGGUAAAUGCGGGAUUUUCCAAGAGAAAAGGCGUGAUUUUUGGGUUACAUGGGGGAUUUUUGAAGAGAAAAUGUAUGAUUUUCAGUUAAAUCGCGGCAUCUCUAAGAGAAAAUGCCUGAUGUUUGCAUUAAAUGUGUGAUUUUCAGGUUACAUGGGAGAUUUUUGUAGAGAAAAUGCGUGAUUUUCGGGAUAAAUGAGGGAUUCUUGAAGAGAAAAUGCGUGAUUUUCAAGUUAAAUGGGGGAUUCUCAAAGAGAAAUAGCCUUUUCUUCUGGUUAAAUGGGGGAUUAUCGAAGAGAAAAUGCACCAUUUUUGUUUACAGGUGAGAUUUUUGUAGAGGAAAUGCGUGAUUUUUUUGAUACAUGGGGGAUUCUUGUAGCAAAAAUGUUUGAUUUUGGGGUCCAGUGGGGGAUUUUUGAAGAGCAAAAGUGAGAUUUUUGAGUUAAAUGGGGGAUUUUCCAAGAGAAAAUGCGUGAUUUGGGGGUUAAAUGGGGGAUUUCUGAGGAGAAAAUGUGUGACUUGUGGGAUAAUGGGGUAUUUUUGGAGAGAAAAUGCAAGAUUUUGUGGAAAAUGCGGGAUUUUGCAAGAGAAAAUGCAUGAUUUUGGGAUUAAAUGGGAGAUUUUCCAAGAGAAAAUGCGUGAUUUUGGGGUUCAAAGGGGAUUUGGCCAGAGAAAUCGUGUGAAUCUUGGGAUAAUGGGGUAUUUUUGGAGAGAAAAUGCAUGAUUUGGGGGUAAAUGCGUAUUUUCCAUGAGAAAAGGCGAGAUUUUUGAGUUAAAUGGGGGAUAUUCCAAGAGAAAAUGCGUGAUUUUGGGGUUAAAUGGGGGAUUGUUGAAGGGAAAAUGCAUGAUUUGGGGGUUUAGGGGGGGAUUUUUGAAGAGAAAACACGUAAUUUUUGGUUUAAACAGCUAUUUUUGAAGAGAAUAUGCGUGAUUUUCAGUUUAAAUCAGG